RNAcentral lists this ribosomal RNA (250 nucleotides) under uncultured bacterium. Its description in RNAcentral is "partial 16S ribosomal RNA". It matches the Rfam family "Bacterial small subunit ribosomal RNA", at positions 57 to 305 of the family's 1533-position model. The record is from RNAcentral.
GCAAGUCGAGGGGCAGCAUAGGACUUCGGUCCUGAUGUCGACCGGCGAACGGGUGAGUAACGCGUACACAACCUACCCUUAACUGUGGGAUAGCCUUGGGAACUGAGAUUAAUACCCCAUAACAUUGCUUUAUUGCAUAUGACGUCAAUUAAAGCGGAGGCGGUUAAGGAUGGGUGUGCGUCCCAUUAGCUAGUUGGUGAGGUAAAGGCUCACCAAGGCGACGAUGGGUAGGGGGCGUGAGAGCGUGAAC